RNAcentral lists this ribosomal RNA (546 nucleotides) under uncultured bacterium. Its description in RNAcentral is "bacterial SSU rRNA". It matches the Rfam family "Bacterial small subunit ribosomal RNA", at positions 356 to 896 of the family's 1533-position model. The record is from RNAcentral.
GGGGAAUAUUGCGCAAUGGGGGCAACCCUGACGCAGCCAUGCCGCGUGAAUGAAGAAGGCCUUCGGGUUGUAAAGUUCUUUCGGUAGCGAGGAAGGCACUUAGUUUAAUAAACUAGGUGAUUGACGUUAACUACAGAAGAAGCACCGGCUAACUCCGUGCCAGCAGCCGCGGUAAUACGGAGGGUGCGAGCGUUAAUCGGAAUAACUGGGCGUAAAGGGCACGCAGGCGGUGACUUAAGUGAGGUGUGAAAGCCCCGGGCUUAACCUGGGAAUUGCAUUUCAUACUGGGUCGCUAGAGUACUUUAGGGAGGGGUAGAAUUCCACGUGUAGCGGUGAAAUGCGUAGAGAUGUGGAGGAAUACCGAAGGCGAAGGCAGCCCCUUGGGAAUGUACUGACGCUCAUGUGCGAAAGCGUGGGGAGCAAACAGGAUUAGAUACCCUGGUAGUCCACGCUGUAAACGAUGUCGAUUUGGGGGUUGAGCUUUGAGUUUGGCGCCCGUAGCUAACGUGAUAAAUCGACCGCCUGGGGAGUACGGCCGCAAGGUUA